Molecule: signal recognition particle RNA, 291 nt
Filed under: Meriones unguiculatus (Mongolian gerbil)
Lineage: Eukaryota; Metazoa; Chordata; Mammalia; Rodentia; Muridae
Description: Metazoan signal recognition particle RNA (ENSMUGG00000003056.1)
Rfam family: Metazoan signal recognition particle RNA
About the family: The signal recognition particle (SRP) is a universally conserved ribonucleoprotein.
Source: RNAcentral
GCCUGGCGUGGUGGCACUCACCUGUAGUCCCAGCUACUGGGGAAGCUGAGACAGGAAGAUCUCUUGAGUCCAGGAGUUCUGGGCUGUAGUGUGCUCUACAGAUUGAGUGUCCACACUAAGUUCGGCAUCAAUAUUGUGACUUCCAGGGAUCAGGGACCCGUAGGUUGCCUAAGGAGGGGUGAGCUGGCCCAGGUCAGAAAUGGAGGUCAAAACUCCUGUGCUGAUCAGAUCUCCUUUUCAGGUGAUGUAUUUUUUUUUCCCAAAAUGAUGUAAGCUGACUGAGUGCCUCAU